CUGCGAAGAUAUUGUCGAAACCUGCCCAGCAGAAAGACCCGCGAACCUGUUGUACCUCGCGGUGGGUGCCGGGUGCAGCACGCACCCGUCGCUCAUCAUGCCGAGUGCGCGGCGCUCUGCGUCAUGCCCUCGGCCCUGAACGAACCCCGGCGCGGAAUGCGUCAAGGAAAGACAAUGAAACGGGGGGCUACCAAGUCGCCGGAAUCGGUGUAUGUCUUGGUAGUCGCAUCGUGGUUGGUUGAAGUNUAUAACGACUCUCGGCAACGGAUAUCUCGGCUCCCGCAUCGAUGAAAAACGUANCGAAAUGCCAUACUUGGUGUGAAUUGCAGAAUCCCCGUGAACCAUCGAGUUUUUUGAACGCAAGUUGCGCCCNAANCCAUUCGGCGAGGGCACNCCUGCCUGGGCGUCACACACCGUAACCCCCCUAUCCCCUUGCCACUCGUUGUGCAGUGCAUGUGGACUAGAAGGGGCGGAUAUUGGCCUCCCAUGCGAUAUCGGCCGCAUGGUUGGCCCAAACUCGAGUCCCUUGUCACGUGCAUCGUGGCAGAAGGUGGUUGUCGAUCAGUCGGUGCCCCGUCAAUUGAUGCCGGACACGUAAAGGGACUCCCAGCGACCCCAAUGCACCGAUUGUAGGUCCUGAAACGACCCAGUCAGCG
RNAcentral lists this ribosomal RNA (656 nucleotides) under Maclura pomifera (Osage orange). RNAcentral's name for it is "eukaryotic LSU rRNA". The stretch from base 253 to 409 matches the Rfam family "5.8S ribosomal RNA". The record is from RNAcentral. Lineage: Eukaryota; Viridiplantae; Streptophyta; Magnoliopsida; Rosales; Moraceae.